Diceros bicornis minor is the source of this 2420-nucleotide long non-coding RNA. RefSeq lists it as uncharacterized. The transcript has 4 exons. Lineage: Eukaryota; Metazoa; Chordata; Mammalia; Perissodactyla; Rhinocerotidae. The record is from RefSeq and is a predicted model, not a curated record.
CCAGUAAAAGGCAGUCUUCUUCAGGAAGACUGUGAACAUAGAAAUAAAUGCCAUAUGUUAACUAUGCCACCAAUUUAAAUACCAUGGGACCCACUGUGAUCACCCAGGCCAGCUGGAGGAGAAAUUAGAUUUGGACAGAAGCUGUUCCUCAUGACCCGGGUCCUUGAUGGUUUUCACGCAGGACCUGCCCAGGGAACCCCAACAGCUUCUUUCCCAGGAGAUAAGUUGAAAACAUACCCAAGAUUCCUCUACAUAUGCCUUAGAAGAAAUAAAGGAAGACUGCAGGCUUCAACCCCACCUACUGCAGGCGGCUGGCCAGGGCCUCUCCCGUGCCAGGGGAGAGUGGCGGAAGAGAAGUCGAGUCCCUGUCCUCGAGAAGACGUGACCAUCGUGUGGGGCAGCGCUGGAAGAAGGGGCCGGCUGGGGAGCAGUGAGGAAAGAGGGGAUCUCAUAGAGGCUGCCAGGUAAAGGAAAUGACCUUGCAGCAGAGACUGGAAGGAUGAGGUGGUUUAAAAUGUAAACGCAAAAGGAGAGUGAGAGCCUCAGAAUGGCAAGGAGCUCAUCUGUCCGCAAGAGCCUGGUGCUUGCUGCACGGUGGGCUCUCACUGGUGGUGGAAUGACUCAAAGAAGAAGCCUCUCCUAGCCAGCAAGAUCCAGAUCUUAGGAAAAAAGUGGAUUAAUCUAGAGUGAACUGGCCACGACAUUCUACGCAGUAUAGAUAGAGAGCCUCAAGCUUUAAUCACUGGUGGUUUUCCUUAAGCUGGAGGUUUGAUUUCAGUGGCUCUGGGGCAGAGAUUUUGCAUUUCUCACAAGCUCCCAGGUGACACGGUGGCCCUAACCCACGGAUCUCGCUUGUCAUUCGUUUAAAUGCCUUACGGCAUUUGCCAAUUUUUCAAAGCUUUUCAGGUCUUCCUCUGGCCUGAUUUAAAAACACAAAAUUGAAAAGGCACUGAUUAUUAGAUGGAUGAGUACAAACUCGCUAGCUUCUCCCCGAAAGUAACCACGAUUCAGCGGAUUGAUAGAUCCUUAGAGUCCUUUUUCUACAUACUGAAGUAGGGAUUUCUGCAAACAACUGCUAUAAAGAAGAUCUUAUUCUUUGCUAUUUUACACGAAUCGAUCACCUAGCAAUAUUCUUGGCCAUUCUGCAUUAUUAUCUAUCGCUGUAUCUCAUUUUUUAAUAUCUAUGUAAUAGUCCACUUAUGGAAUUUAAAUUAAUCAAUCAAUAUAAACGGUAAUUUUCUCCUGGGGUAGAGGAACCCUGGAGGGUGACCAGGACGUGAAGAGUUUGUUAUUCUAGUAACUGAGAAAAUAUUCCACAAGAAUCUAGAACUCUCAUCUUGUCAGGUGGCAGUGAAUCUAUGAGACAGCCCCUACCCCAGAAAUGUGGUGAUUAAGGGAGAGCCCAUGAGCCUGGACGGCCCCGCCAGGAGACUGGUAACAAGACAGCGUUGGCACAUAAACCCCGUCUGAGGGAGCCCAGUGUGUGGGCACAGUUUCUUCCACUUCCCCCACUAGCUGACUGUGAAAGGUGGCUUGUUAUCAAAGUUCAGUUAAAAGCAGCCAAAAUGAUGAGUGCUCUGUUACUCACUGGCUCAGUGUUCCUCACAGAAACAGGAUCAUCGCACCUACGAAGAUGAAUGGUAGAAACAGGCUUGUCUGCUACUGAAAUGCAUGCCAUGUUGCUGGAAUUUUGGACAGCCUUAGAAGGUUCUGUCCUAGCCACACAGACAUUGUGCCUUUUGGUAGAUAAAAGCCCUGUCGCAUAUAAUUAUUAGCAUGUCUCAAGCCUUUCUGGGCACCAGGCAGUAGGAUAAGGGGUACCCUGAAAAUCCACAAAUAUCCGUUGAGCAGCUGCUCUGUGCCUCCAUGAUUAUAGGCAUUGGGCAAAGAGCAGUGAGCAGAACAGACCUCAGGUCUGCCCCAGGAAGUUUCCGGUCUCCUGGAGGAGACAGCCUCAACCACACAUAUAGAGCCACAGAGUGUACAGGUGUGAUGGAGGAGGGAAGAUGUCCAGGCAAAAGAAACAGCACAUGUCCAGCUAUGCAGCUCUAACUUGAAGAAUUUCGUCUACCGACUAGCAGUAUGACUUUGGACAGGACGAUUAACUGCUUAGGACUUCAUUUUUGUCAUCUGUAAAGUAAUAACAGUCACAGCUCAUGUUAUUCCGAGCCCCAAAGGUGCACCAUUCCAGCGAAUGAAUGGGGACCAGCGAGGAGCUUGUCGAAAGGGCGGGAACCCCCACUCCUGGUGGAGGGCUGGGCACAGCUGCCUUUGCAAUGCGGGCACCCCGGCUGGGGUCCUGUCCCUCAUCCUGCUGUGAACCCUAACCCAGAACUUUAUCUCUGAGAGGUGGGAAAUUACACUCUUUAUGUGUUGUUCCAUCACGUUUACCAUAAACGUGUGUUCUUUUGAUAAUAAUA